GAUGAAGAACGCAGCGAAAUGCGAUAAGUAAUGUGAAUUGCAGAAUUCAGUGAAUCAUCGAAUCUUUGAACGCACAUUGCGCCCCCUGGUAUUCCGGGGGGUAUGCCUGUCCGAGCGUCAUUACAACCCUCAAGCUCAGCUUGGUGUUGGGCCCCGCCGCCCCGGCGGGCCCUAAAGUCAGUGGCGGUGCCGUCCGGCUCCGAGCGUAGUAAUUCUUCUCGCUCUGGAGGUCCGGUCGUGUGCUCGCCAGCAACCCCCAAUUUUUUUCAGGUUGACCUCGGAUCAGGUAGGGAUACCCGCUGAACUUAAGCAUAUCAAUAAGCGGAGGA
RNAcentral lists this unclassified non-coding RNA (329 nucleotides) under soil metagenome. Its description in RNAcentral is "partial contains 5.8S ribosomal RNA, internal transcribed spacer 2, and large subunit ribosomal RNA". The stretch from base 1 to 120 matches the Rfam family "5.8S ribosomal RNA", at positions 35 to 154 of the family's 154-position model. The record is from RNAcentral.